Molecule: non-coding RNA, 72 nt
Organism: Budorcas taxicolor (takin)
Lineage: Eukaryota; Metazoa; Chordata; Mammalia; Artiodactyla; Bovidae
Source: the annotation of a RefSeq genome assembly
UCCCUGGUGGUCCAGUGGCUAAGACUCUGUGCUCCCACACAGGGGGCCCAGGUUCAAUCCCUGGCCAGGGAA